This is a long non-coding RNA of Rattus norvegicus (Norway rat), 568 nucleotides long. Ensembl lists it as uncharacterized. The record is from Ensembl. Lineage: Eukaryota; Metazoa; Chordata; Mammalia; Rodentia; Muridae.
GGCAGUUUCACCUCAAAGAGGAAGUUGGGUGUGGCGGGCAGUUUGUUGACAUAUCCACCAUAGGAGUGCCCCUGGGAGCCCUCUCUCAUCUCUGACAGAUAACUGUGGGGUUUACUUCUCUCACCAGACAUUCCCAGCAAAGCACAGCUGAGGCGCCAUUGGCUUUGUGAGUUUGGAUUCCCCAUCAUCCAUUCCUCACAAGCUUCUUUCUGGGCCUACCGUGAGUCUUCAGCCUGUACCUGUCUGGAGUUCACUUGAGGGUGGAGUCUCUCUUCUCUCUCGGGAUCCCCCUUCAUUAUUUCUGGUGUCUCCCUCCGCUCUCAUACUUCAUUAAUCACUUUGGAAUUCUACAUAAUAAAUGGCCAGCUUGCUUCAGAAGAUGGAGAUGUGGAUCUGCGCAUGUACGGAACAGUGACGGUCCACACUGGAGGGAGAAAGCUGCCUCAGAGCUUGGACCUCAGUGGUCAAGAAUUUCUCAUCCACUCAUGGAGCUGCUUUGAGGAUCAAGAGAGAUAAUACACCUUAACGUGUUUGGGCUUUGCAGGCAGGUUGGAGCCUUCCACAUCUU